RNAcentral lists this long non-coding RNA (259 nucleotides) under Homo sapiens (human). RNAcentral's name for it is "HSALNT0188693". Lineage: Eukaryota; Metazoa; Chordata; Mammalia; Primates; Hominidae. The record is from RNAcentral.
CCGCACUCACAAUACACUCGCGGAUCCUCUCGUGGAAUAGCUGUUCUCGCACGGAUAGCACUUCGUAGUCAGGUGCUUCCAUACUCUGCUCAGCAUGACUGAAGCCGAGGUGCCUCUGGGCCCGGGGAGGACGAGCGGGGAGGAAGCCGCCGCCGCCAAGCACCCAGACCCAGCCUAGGGGCCUUUCCUCGCAGCCUGCGACAGAAACUCGGCAGACACCGGGUCCCGGUUACCGUCCCCGACAAGCUAAGAGUCGAGG